AACGAGCUGCUCACACCAGGAUUGCUUUCACAUGGAGCUUGCAAAGGGCUAGCCUGACAAGGCCAGCCAUUGAUUCCAGGAGAGCAGGCUUCAUUUUAUGAGGCCCUUCUUUAUAAUUUUUCUACCUUACUGCAUCAGGACAUGCAUCACAUGAGAAUGGAGUUUGUCAGGAAUCACCAAACCGAUGGCUGAGAGAAGGAAACGAAGCAUCAGAUAUUCUUGCUAGCCAGAGAAGAGGGAACAGAAGCAAAUCAGCUUGGGCUGUAGCAAGAAGCCCCACAGUGCUUGGCUUGGCUCAGCUCAGCUCACAGAGCCCCACCACGUGCCUGUUCAACAUGUCCAAGGCAAGUUUCUAUUGCUGCUGAACCAGGCCCAGAGAAAGCAGGGAAGUGUGGCCAAAAUGUGGGGGUACCCAUCACUCCUCACCUCCAAGAGACUCUAACUGCCAUGUGGAUCAGCAGCUCAGUCCUGGAAGCACAUGGGUUCUUAGGUGGCUUUUGGGACCAUAAAGCCAAAAGUGGUGGGAAGGUCAUUCCUGUGACCAGAUAAAGGUCAGUCAGCCUUUCAGUUGUCCUAAUUAAGGAGCUCACAGUUUUGAUCAGGGUACAGACACAGCCACAGUAGUGUCUGUACUCUUUAUUUCAGUGACAGGAAGAGAACAGUGGUGGUGUUGAGAUUCUCUUAAGAGAGUGACACACUUUGAGGUUAGGUCUAGGGGCACCCAUUUUGUGUUUGUCAGCUGGAGUAGUAAGAGCCAGAGACUGGCAGAGUUUCCCAUUGGAUUCUGCUCCCUUGUCUUCUGCAGAAGUGUCACCUUUUUGUACUUCACUUUUUCCACACUUAUCUUCAAAAACAUAAAGAUAAAUAAAAUUUUCCCUCCUUG
Molecule: long non-coding RNA, 883 nt
Organism: Zonotrichia leucophrys gambelii
Lineage: Eukaryota; Metazoa; Chordata; Aves; Passeriformes; Passerellidae
Exons: 3
Source: RefSeq, a predicted model, not a curated record